Molecule: long non-coding RNA, 1789 nt
Organism: Homo sapiens (human)
Lineage: Eukaryota; Metazoa; Chordata; Mammalia; Primates; Hominidae
Product: long intergenic non-protein coding RNA 1969
Source: Ensembl
GGGGAAGGAGUUAUACUCAGUGGUGGCCAUAGAGAGUUGGUGACUGCCUUUGAGAGGAGAAUGGUUGUGAUCCUUUUGCCGAGAACUCACCCAGAGGACUUAUACCUUGGUGACAGCAGAAGGACUCAAGUUAGAAGGCCAGGGCCCUUAAAGGGAGGGGACGAUUCGAGGAAAGUAUAGAUUAGAAAACUGAGGCCCAGAGAAGGAAAGUAGCUGCCAGAGGUCACACAGCUAGGAUUGAGGGAUCAGAGAGUUCCUCCUCCCCCACAAGCUGGCACAUGUGGAUAUUGGCUCUGUUUUGCCUUUGACCCCUAGUGAAAGAAAAUACUGAGACGGAGUCUCGCUCUGUCGCCCAGGUUGGAGUGAAGCGGCUAGAUCUCAGCUCACUGCAACCUCUGCCUCCCAGGUUUAAGCAAUUCUCCUGUCUCAGCCUCCAGAGUAGCUGGGACUACAGGCGCAUGCCACCAUGCCCUACUAAUUUUUUGUAUUUUUAGGAGAGACAGGCCUUCACCAUGUUGGUCAAGCUGGUCUCGAACUCCUGACCUCAGAUCUUCUUCCAUAUAUGGCUCUGUGUGUCUCCUGUCCUUCCCUGUCUCCUCACUGCUUUUCAGCUGGUAGACCCCUGUGGGGACAACAGAUCAGAGCUUGGUCACCAAUAUGGACAUCUAGGUCUGAGCAGGGCCCACUCCCCGGGGGCGCAUCAGCUCCAUCCCGGCACCCUUUACACUGGCCUUCUCUUCACAAAGGACCACAGGUCAUCCUCAAGCCUUCCUCCCAGGCUAUCCUUGUCCCUGAAUACUAAUGUCUAAAGGUCAGCCCAGCUACCAGCAGUGUGCAUGUGAUGUGUCCCAUCUCCCCUUCGGAUUGGAGGAAGAAGCUGUGUCCCUCCCAUCAGACAGACGGUCUCCUUAAAGAUUCUCCUGGUCUCCAGCUUGGGCUCUGCUGGAAAGAAGAGGAAGUAUUUAGCAAGGGUGAAGAUGGGUUCUUACUUCCCUGAGGCAACCAGAGAUAAGAAAAGACCAGAAUAUGAAUAUCCAGCAUUCCACAAAGAAUCCUACAGGCAGGGAUAUUGCCCAAUCACCAGUGCCUCGCAUCCCAGUUCUAUCCAAGAUCCAAGCUUGAUAUCCUCCUGAAAGACUUCCUGAAUCAGGUCACCAACAUGGACAUCUGAACUUCCAGAAUCAGGUCACCGUCUUUCUUCUCAUCUCUGGAUGUAUUUGGAGCUCAUUUGUCUGACGGUUUUUGAAUGCUAUCUUUUAAAAAUAAACUUUUACAAUUUGGGUUUAAUAAUUCUAGAUUUAUAGAAAAGUUGAAAAGAAAGUACAGAAAGUUCCCAUAUAUCCCUUAUCCAGUUCUCUUAAUGUUAACCUCCUACAUCAUCAUGGAACAUUUGCCAAAAUGAAGAUGUCAACACUGGUGCUUUGCUGUGAACUAAACUCCAGACUUUAUUCGGAUUUCAUGAAUUUUUCUCCUAAGGUCCCUUUUCCGUUCCGGCAUUCCACCCAGGAUAUCACAUUGCAUUUGGUGUUUGUGUCUCCUUGGUCUCCUCUGGUUCUUGAGAGUUUCUCAGUCUCUCCUUGUUUUUCGUGACUGAAGUUUCAAGGAGUACUGGUCAGGUAUUCCAUAGAAUGUCCUACUGUUAGCUUUCAGCAGUAAAAGCCUUUCCACAAACAAAACCUUCUGCAGAGUCCUAAUCUGUGAACAGACAAGAAUGGAGUUGCCAUGGUCACAGCAGUGAUGAGAAAUGAUCCCCUGAAUAUGAAUCUCCAUGAAACCCCCCGAGAAUUAU